AAAAGAACCUAUAUCCAAAGAGCUGGGUUCUCCUUUCGGAUGUGAUGUUGAACAGUUUCUCUGUGUGCUUCAUCUCCACCUCCCUCCCAGCUUUUAUGUCCCUUCUACUUCGUCUUCAAACUCGAGUUCAAAUCUCCUUCCCUCUGAAAACCCCCUCUCGACUGCGCUACCCAUUGUAAAGACCGACUCUUCAGUGAAGACACAGAAUCAGCAUUUGGGAGAUGCGGAGACCAGGGACGAGUCCUUCCUCCUGGGAGAGCUGGGAUUCCAGUCCUGGGAGUGAUUCUGGGUCAUCAGGCCGGAGAAUCACACUCUCUGCUAUCAGCAUCCAACCUACUCGAGUCCUGACCCCACACUGCCAGGAGAGUCCAGCAAGCCCUGAGGGCCUGAGCACAGCCAGGCUGGACACUGGAGGCAGCCCCGGGAGAUGGUGGGACCUCCUAGGUGACGCCAAAAUCCAUCUCUCCACUAAAGAUGUUUAUCUAGCUGCAGACAAACUUUCAAACCUUCUCUUGGCUCCUCGCCCAGAAGAUCUGCCAGGGAAGCACAGAAUGGAGAAGGAGGAGGGGUAGAGAAGCACACUUUGUGCUUAGGGACUCUCUUUUCCUUCCCCCAAUCUUCUACUCUCCCACUACUGUGUUUUUCUAAUACUGUCUACUCUUCAUCAUGGUUGAGAAGCUACUGAGCUGGUGUUUCCUAAAUUCUAGAACUAGUGCCUGAUUAAUUAGCAAAUAAUUACAAAACAAUAUACAACCUCCAGAUGAAAAGCUUAAUUGCAGAGUAUUACGUCAGGACCUUAGAAUUAAUAGCAUAUAAUAUUUACACUAUUCUAUUGCUGAUCUCUGACCACUUCCACAAUUUCCGCAGAAAUUAGAUACUGUCUUUUUUAGCUAUAAUUGUCUCAAAGGGAAAAAGAAAAGCUGACAUGACAGUGCAGUCCUUCCAAAUAGAACUUCAUGAUCAGUUCAUUGACUUGGAGGCAUCUUAAAGAAAAUUUUAAGAUCACCUAGAUCAAAUCAUCCAUUUUAUAAAUAGGUAAAGUGAAGCCCACAGAGGCUUUGGGGACAGUUUCCAAAGUCAUUAAUCAGCGUUUUCAAUUCCAUUCCUCCCAUGUGUGGGGCUCAAUCUCUCCUUCCUUUACACGGUGGAGAGCAUGGCUUUCUUCCUGCGGUCCAGUGUCACCAGGCUUAUGUCUUCAUAGCUCAUUUCCGAGGAGAUGGGGGAAUCUUGCCUCAUAGCUUUUGGCUUUCAAAGUGCAUGAGAAAACCCUUGUGGGUCCAGCUUGGUCAUUCUGCUACAGCGUGGACUAUGUUCCACGGACAAACAGAAGAGACACCAUGAUUAACCAGGUCUGUGUUACAGGACUAUGCUCUAAGCAAGGAAAAGGUCACUGAAAUUAGGGAUCCCCACCAGUGAACCAUGACAAAAAUGAGUGGAAGAUUGGUGUUCCCAGUGGAAAUAGUGGAAAGAUGGCUGCUAUGUCCCUUCUCCUAGCAUUGGCCUUAUGGAGCCUCACAGUGAUGAUUCGUCUGAUCAACUAUGGAUGAUGAUA
Molecule: long non-coding RNA, 1552 nt
Filed under: Pan troglodytes (chimpanzee)
Lineage: Eukaryota; Metazoa; Chordata; Mammalia; Primates; Hominidae
Description: lncRNA (ENSPTRG00000053651.1)
Source: RNAcentral